This 1803-nucleotide long non-coding RNA is filed under the name Anser brachyrhynchus (Pink-footed goose). RNAcentral describes it as "lncRNA (ENSABRG00000017924.1)". Lineage: Eukaryota; Metazoa; Chordata; Aves; Anseriformes; Anatidae. The record is from RNAcentral.
CGUAACUGUCUAAUAUCCCAGAUGAUUGGCCCUUUCAAUUAAAACAACAUUAUGCAAAAAAUAAUGAAUCCCGUCUUAAAAAAGCAGCCCACGUGUGCUUAAUUACUUAAUGUAAUAUACAUUUCAAUAACAAAGUCAUUAGAGUGCACUGUAGGAUGCCCUGUAACAGGUGAACCCUAAUCCAGUUGCUUCACAGCAUAAUGGCAUUACUUUUUUUUUUUUUUCCGCCAUCACGAAACCAAAGCCUCCUUGUGACAAUAAAAUCAUGAGAAAAAUGUCCGUAACAGGAGUAAAUCAAGGCCAGGCCGUGCGUCCCACACGUGUGAGAUGUGUGCCGGGGAGAGGGGAAGGGCCGCACGGUGGCUGGCCGUGCAGGCCGGGUGCAGGCCGGGCUUGCUCUGUGGAAACACACGGGUGCACCAAUGGUUUGUGUACCACACGAGAGGAAAGCAAGUGCCGGCCCUUGGGGGACGUCACUCGCCGGGCCGGGUUUCACGCUCCCAGGAUCCGGGGGCACCGGGCAGAUUCAUGUGCCGCGCAGUUUAUUUAAUUAAUACAUUCAGCCGCCUCCGCUGGUUUUUAAUGAUUUCCAGGUGUUUGCACCCAGAAGUCACAAAGCGCUGCUGGGCGCACGGGGCAAUGAUUGAAGGGCCUCGGAGUGCACCAGACACCCCCCGGCCCUGCCAGCGAUGGGCUAAUGAUGCUGGGCUAAAAACGCCCUGGUUUGGGCUCGUGGCACGGGCACGGAGGAUGAGGACGCCCAGCCAGUGCGGGGCGGCGAUAGAGCAAGGAAGGACUGGAAGGAUGAAGGCCGAGGGCAGACGGGCUGCUCCUGCUCAGCGCUUUGUUGGGUGCCCUGUGUAGGAGACGACGUCUCCAUGGGAUAACCCAAGACAUCCCCGGAGGUGCUCUGAGCUCACCCUGGCCCUGCCCGCGGUGUGGGUUUCACCGGUAGAGGAGAGAGGUGGAGGAACGGAGCCUUCCUCUUUAAGCCCAAACCAGUUUUUAUUUAAGCUCACUCAUUUUUAUUUUCUGGGUAGCGCUUAUGUCCUACGUCCCUCUCAGUGAAACUCAGGAGCCAUCAGUUUGAAGAAGGGUUUUAGGCAGUUACACCUUCUGCAUCGGGAGGCAAAAGUAGAUCCCCAGCGAGCUCCCAGUGCACCUAAACACAGCGUUGCUGCUUGGGAAACCACACGAUGGAGGCGACGUGCUGCUAUAGGGACGAUCGUGUGUGUUUCCGGCGGCUCCUUUCCACACCACAGCCAGUUCUGGGGGCUCCCUUUGCUGGGAGAGGAAGGGAUUUUGUUCUUGUCCCCCUCGUCCCCAAGCACCUUUUCACCCCAAAAGUGACUGCCCCAACGCUGGGACUAAGCUGACAUCCCCCGAGUUUAGUCUUGCUCCUAUUCCACUGGGGGAAAAAAAAAAAAAGAAGAGGUGUGUGGGGGUGUUUUUGAAGAAGCAAACCAGAAUUUUAGAAAUGAAAACGUAUGGCAGAGCUCUGAUGAACCCUGGAGCACUUGCAAAGGGGGCGUGCACCUGGGUCACCCCAUUGCACCCCACAAACUCGGCUGGCUCCGGGGGGCCCACUGCCCAGCCCACCCCAAUUUUUGGCAGAGACCAGGGCAGUUGCCAGUCCCCCCUGUGCCGGAGGAGCCCCCAGCUCCUGACAGGCGGCAUGCCAGCCAAAAAAAGCAGCAAACAAAGUUAUGAAAAUUAGAUAUUUUAUUUAUAUUUUAUGACAAGAACAGUCCCUUUGUUCUUCAGCUGUAAAUACAUACUAGAAUAAACUCUGUAAAUUAUACA